This 559-nucleotide ribosomal RNA is filed under the name uncultured bacterium. Its description in RNAcentral is "partial 16S ribosomal RNA". It matches the Rfam family "Bacterial small subunit ribosomal RNA", at positions 355 to 905 of the family's 1533-position model. The record is from RNAcentral.
UGGGGAAUUUUGGACAAUGGGCGAAAGCCUGAUCCAGCAAUGCCGCGUGUGUGAAGAAGGCCUUCGGGUUGUAAAGCACUUUUGUCCGGAAAGAAAUCCUUGGCUCUAAUACAGUCGGGGGAUGACGGUACCGGAAGAAUAAGCACCGGCUAACUACGUGCCAGCAGCCGCGGUAAUACGUAGGGUGCAAGCGUUAAUCGGAAUUACUGGGCGUAAAGCGUGCGCAGGCGGUUUGCUAAGACCGAUGUGAAAUCCCCGGGCUCAACCUGGGAACUGCAUUGGUGACUGGCAGGCUAGAGUAUGGCAGAGGGGGGUAGAAUUCCACGUGUAGCAGUGAAAUGCGUAGAGAUGUGGAGGAAUACCGAUGGCGAAGGCAGCCCCCUGGCAAGUACUGACGCUCAUGCACGAAAGCGUGGGGAGCAAACAGGAUUAGAUACCCCUGGUAGUCCACGCCCCUAAACGAUGUCAACUAGUUGUUGGGGAUUCAUUUUCCUUAGUAACGUAGCUAACGCGUGAAGUUGACCGCCUGGGGAGUACGGUCGCAAGAUUAAAACUCAAA